AGUGAACGCUGGCGGUAGGCCUAACACAUGCAAGUCGAACGGCAGCACAGUAAGAGCUUGCUCUUACGGGUGGCGAGUGGCGGACGGGUGAGGAAUACAUCGGAAUCUACUUUUUCGUGGGGGAUAACGUAGGGAAACUUACGCUAAUACCGCAUACGACCUACGGGUGAAAGCAGGGGAUCUUCGGACCUUGCGCGAUUGAAUGAGCCGAUGUCGGAUUAGCUAGUUGGCGGGGUAAGGGCCCACCAAGGUGACGAUCCGUAGCUGGUCUGAGAGGAUGAUCAGCCACACUGGAACUGAGACACGGUCCAGACUCCUACGGGAGGCAGCAGUGGGGAAUAUUGGACAAUGGGCGCAAGCCUGAUCCAGCCAUACCGCGUGGGUGAAGAAGGCCUUUGGGUUGUAAAGCCCUUUUGUUGGGAAAGAAAAGCAGCAGGUUAAUACCCCGCUGUUCUGACGGUACCCAAAGAAUAAGCACCGGCUAACUUCGUG
Molecule: ribosomal RNA, 492 nt
Filed under: uncultured bacterium
Lineage: Bacteria
Description: partial 16S ribosomal RNA
Rfam family: Bacterial small subunit ribosomal RNA
Source: RNAcentral